Molecule: ribosomal RNA, 96 nt
Filed under: uncultured bacterium
Lineage: Bacteria
Description: partial 16S ribosomal RNA
Source: RNAcentral
CACCGCCCGUCACACCAUGGGAGUCGAUUGCUCCUAGAAGUGGCUGCGCCAACCCGCAAGGGAGGUAGGUCCCAAGAGUGAUCGGUGACUGGGGUG